AAACGUAGGUGGCGAACGUUAUCCGGAUUUACUGGGCGUAAAGCGCUCGCAGGCGGCUUCGUAAGUCUGACGUGAAAGCUCCCGGCUUAACUGGGAGAGGCCGUUGGAUACUGCGGAGCUUGAGGGCAGGAGAGGAGAGUGGAAUUCCCGGUGUAGCGGUGGAAUGCGUAGAUAUCGGGAGGAACUCCAGUGGCGAAGGCGACUCUCUGGCCUGACCCUGACGCUCAGGAGCGAAAGCGUGGGGAGCGAACAGGAUUAGAUACCCUAGUAGUCC
Molecule: ribosomal RNA, 274 nt
Filed under: uncultured bacterium
Lineage: Bacteria
Description: partial 16S ribosomal RNA
Rfam family: Bacterial small subunit ribosomal RNA
Source: RNAcentral